GGCCGGUAUAAAGACGUCCUGCGGGGACCCACGCCGCACGCCGACCAAGCCCGUCACCAUGAGGAGUCUGGCCGCGCUGCUGCUGGUGCUGGCGUGCGCGAGCGCCGCCCCCAGGCCGCGGGCCCAGGCCCCGGUCAUCUACACCUACGGCACGCCCCUGGCCUACGUCCCGGGCGCCGCCGCCUACAGCCCAGCCCUGGCCUCGCCGGGCCUGUACGCCGACUACGUGCCCUACAGCUACAAUUACGCUUACACGUAUCCAUACGUCUACGUGUAACUGCUGCUAUGUCGUACAAACGUAUUCAUCUCAUCUGCUGUAGCUGAUCACCAUUACUACUCUUCAUAACAACUGUACAUUUCAUUACAAAAAUAAAAAUGUAUUUUAUUAACAAUUUUCAAACUA
Bacillus rossius redtenbacheri is the source of this 403-nucleotide long non-coding RNA. RefSeq lists it as uncharacterized. The transcript is spliced from 3 exons. The record is from RefSeq and is a predicted model, not a curated record. Lineage: Eukaryota; Metazoa; Arthropoda; Insecta; Phasmatodea; Bacillidae.